UUGGGUGAACUAACCCUUAAAUGACAGAAAUUUCAUUUUUUGGAUGAACUAACCCUUUAAUGAAAUGGCACACCAGAGCCUUAAUCAUGAAAUAUCAGUCCAUGUCUUGGCAAUAAUUGGCACUAUAUUUGCUGUGUAAAGAAUGCUAUUCAUUAUAUUUUAGUCACAUGACUUUUCAUCCACUAUAUUUAUGACAACUCGCCGGGGAAAGUAAUGGCUGUAAAUACAAACCACAUGAAUUAAGAAAAUAAUAAAUCGUUGGAUUUGGAUAGUAUGCUAAGACCUUGCAGAAGAUUUUUGUUUUUCAGGAGUAAAUAGUUUAAAAUAACGAUUGAAAAUUUCACUACCAUUCAAAAGUUAGGGGUCGGUAAGAUUUUUAAAAAUGCUUUUGAAAGAAGUCUUUUACAUCCUCACCAAAGGCUGCAUUUAUUUGAUAAAAAUACAGUAAAAACAAUAAUUUUGUGAAAUAAUAUUACAAUUUAAAUAAACCUUUUUUUAUAUUUUAAAAUGUAAUUUAUUCAUGUGAUGCAAAGCUGAAUUUUCAGCAUCAUUACUCCAGUCUUCAGCGUCACAUGAUCCUUCAGAAAUCAUUCUAAUACAGAGCUCUCAAGUUUUAUUAAAAGUUUGGAGUGAGAUUACAUCUGUUAGGGGAGGAGCCACUCAAAUAUUUGCAGCAGCGGCCCCUCUGCCCCACCAAAUUCUCACAAGUUUUUGCUAGUAAUUUAAUUUUCCCUACAGUGUUGUUCAUUAUUAACCAGCACAAAUAGAAAUUAUGCUGCUUGUUGACUGAAGUGCCUGUUCUUUGGCCUGAUGACCUUUAUGUUUUAUAUGCCUGUUCACACCUGAGUUCUCCUGUCUGCAAACAGAGCACCAGUUGUAGGAGCUGCUGGUGCCUAUGGUAAUGAAUGGCCAUUUGGUUGACCACUCACUUUUUAAAGUACACCUGGUGGCUGCUCCACUUAAUGCUUUCUUCUUCUUCCCUGUCUUGUCCACUGUCUCCUCUAUGGUCUCUUCUACUUUCUCCCCAACUGUCACUCUUACUAUCUUCUCCACCGUCUCUGCCUCCACCUCUUCCACUGUCUCCUCCUCUGAUCUAGCAACCUUUUUAGGGGGCUGACCCUUUGGUGCCCAGAAUGAAAUAAUACUCUUUUGCUUUUUCUCUGACAUCUUUGAAACAGAUAAAUGCAAUGAUUAAUGUAUGCAUUGCCAGUAAAUUAAAUAUUACUGAAAUGAUAGCCAGAGAGCUCUGCUUUAAGAUUAACAUUGCUGAAAAGAGUAUUAAUACAGUAGAAUGUGAAAUAAUAUAAUGAAAUACAUCUUUAGUACUUUCCUUAGUUUCAGAUAGCCAAACUAAGCUAAAGCAGUUGGGAGAGUUUUUGACUGCAUCAAUAAUAAUUUAGCAUGAAUUUGGCUAUAUUACCCAACAUCAGCUCUCACUAUUUUUGAUCACAGGCAAGUGAUUUCAUCUAGGAAUUGUAAAAUCAAAAUGCUAAAAAAAAUGAAGGGGUUGGGUGUAGUUUUGGUUUGAACAUUGGGGGGGGGUUAGCGGGGUCACAGGGCAUGCUCCCUCAUGAGAUUUAUUUGUGCGCUUAUUUGUUUAUUUUUGCAAAAUUGUCUUUUUUGUGGUUACAUCCACAUACAGAGUUGGUUAACAUAGCUGCAUGUAUUUUAUAUUUAAGCAUCUAAAAUCUUAAGCAUUUUGACAGAAUUUUACUUAAAGAACAUUACUAAACGGUUCUUAUAUUGAAAAUGUUAAUUUCCUGUCAUCUGCUAGGUUUUUCCUAAUAUCUGUAAUUAUUAGCAGAACACAUUUUACACAUGGGGAAAAUCAAUUGUGCUCUUGUCUUAAUUCUAACUUGUACUUGGCCUUUUGAAAAACUAUAGUUCUUGUAAUUGUCUUGUAAUAUAUUUAUAGAAUUUGUUACAAUAAGGAUAUAGUUACAGGUAAAAGCAGCCUAUACACAUAGUAACUAUAGCACAGUAUGCCACAGUUGUAAUAUAAAUCUUUGGUGAAAAAUCUAUUCCCUUAACAGAUAAUCUAUUAUAAAUUCUACAAGUUAGUCAAUUUACCACAAUAAAUACAAUAGGUAAAUUCUAGUAAAGGAGGUCUUUCUAUUUUAUGUUGGUGCAGGAUGAUGUUUUCUCAGCGUCGCGAUAGGAACGGCUCGCACAAAUCUUAUCACACUUUUGGAGCGCACUGGUGAACGCGCACAGAGUAUACAGCCAUUUGCGCGCCACGCAUGCACAAUUAAAUAAACUGGGCUUCGGUCAUGUUGCGCAGAUAAUUGGUCCGUUCCGUUCGUACGGGAACUUGGUGCUUAUAAUAGUUCAACGCGCAAUGUAUAAUAGCCUCCUCCAUUAAUUGUAUAUAGAGGGACAAGUUAUCCCUUACUUCUCAGCGUGAGAAAUACAAGGUGUGGCGUGUGAGCGUGUGAAAUGGUUGAAAUGCGUGUGUCUCACGGUGAAUGCGUGAGACUUGAGUGCCCUGCUAAUAUGCUGAUUUGGUGCUCAAGAAACAUUUCUUAUUAUUAUCAAGGUUGACAACAUUUGUGCUGCUUUUUUUUUUUUUUAUUGAAACCGUGAUAAUUUUUUUGUAGGACUCUCAUGAAUCUUUACUGUCACUUUUGAUCAAUUUAAUGUAUCGUUUUCUUUCCAAAAAAAAAAAAAAAAAUCUUACUGACCCGAAACUUUUCAAUGGUAUGUAAACAUGAAUAGCGUUUACGAAAACAUAAUAAUUUUAUACCAAAAUAUAUUUUUUUAUUAUCAUCUAUAAUCUACUUUGUUACAAAAGCUUACAGUGCACUAUUGCCUUCUGUGAUACGAGAGAGAUAUUACUGAACCUUCAUGCUGACACGCUAACAUUUCCAUAUUAGGAAAACUGAGUCUGGGAUCCACAGGCCCUGUGCAGCCGAAGGGCUGGUUCUCUGGCAGGAGCAGGAUGCCCUCAAAUCAGUAAAGCCAUUUUAUGGAGCACUUUAUACAGCAAUGUUUGUAGUUCCUCAGUUUUUGACCAUUUAUGAUACAGUAUAGUAAAAUUCAUGAUGAUCACAGUCACUGUUGCCAACAAUGCAACCAAAUGGUGAGUGAAGUAUUGGACCCAUAAUAUUCCCAUAAACCACAUUAGAUAAGAGGUAUGGGAGAACAAACAUGGAUUUUGUAUAGUGGCUUCAGAUCAGUGGUUUUUAACAAUCCAUGUGUUUUAACUUUGGGUGGUUAUCCCCAGUUUAAAUGAUUCAUUUAAAAAAAAAGCUUUGCUUUGAGACAGCUUAAAUUAAGUGUCUCCAUGGGAGAGUUGGUUGUGCGGAAACAUCCUGAUGUCAUUAGAGAAUUCUGUGCCCUAGAAACAGUCGCCCAAGAGCAGUUUAAAUGGCUUCCAUUUCCUAUUCCACACUCAGAGGAAGUUUGCAGACAGAAUCUGAGGGUACCUCCCACACUGACACAUCGCGUCAACACAUUUUAUUUUAACAUCCUCAUAUUUCACAGCUGUUUUAUUAUCACACAGAUGUGAAACAAUGAUAUCGCCUGUAAACAUCAUCUUAAGUCUAUUAAAUACGAUAACAGCUAUUUUUUAAUGUUUUUUUCUCUCAGGACAGGCCAAGUUUUGUUGUGGGGCCUCUACAGACACAGACCAAAUGCCCAAUAAUGACUCAAAAAAACAAACACAAAUGUAGUCAACAUGAAAGAUGAUCUGGAUUUAGAAUCAGGACAGGGGGCGCAUUUCCUGUGAGUCGACUCUGAAGAGACAUGACCCUUGAGUUCUUCUGCCUUGUUCCCAGUACUGAGGACAUUACAAAAAAGGUCCUAGUGGAAGGACUCUUAGUUUUUCUUAGUCUUAUUAAUCAUAAUGUUCAUAUUUGAUAGCUGCCGUCUUUUUAAUUGUUGAAUAUUAUAAGCUUAAAAGAGUUCCAGAUUUAACAUUAGUCUUAAUUUGGCAAAACUGUUGAUUUUAUUCAGGGAUGUAAACAGUUUUAACCGCUGUCAAAUGACAUUGAAUAACAUUUUUUAGCUGCGUCUGAAAGCUAAAACAUCUGCCUUCCUGUUCAGUCGGGCAUUGACUUAACAGAAAGUGACUACAAUGCUAUAAGGUUAAAAAACCCAUUUCAAACACCAUUUUUAUUCUUUUUAAUAAAGGCACAUUAUGUAAUUUUCACUGCUAGAGGUCGCUUAUUCAAAACAAAGUAGCUUGAUGACGCCUUGAUUUCGCGGAAUCAUGGGAGGUGUUAUCUUCAAUGUUCGUCAACAAAGUUUUUCCUCGACUAAGCCGAGAUGAUAAUAAGGCUAUUAAACGAUAACUGUGACUAUAUCAACAUGCAAUAUUGUUGACGAAAAAAGACAAGACUAAAAUGUAGUUAAAAGAACAAAAACUUUACCAAAAUUUUUGUUGAAAAAAGAGGAGCCAAAACAUUUCAGACUGCUGUAUAUGACUCUAUUAGACGAGCGUUCAUGUUUGAGGUUGCCAGAUAUCAAGAGCUCAAAUCCCCCAAUCAGAGCUUUUCUGUUAAACCAGUGGUCUCAAACUGCCGGCCCACGGGCCAUUUAUGUCCCCCCCUCCCCCUCCACCCGGCCCGCAACUGAUCUCAAAAACAAAACAUAAUCCGGCCCGCGAAAAUAUUAUCAUUAUUAUUAUUCUCUAGUUUGCCUCCUGUCUGAUAUGCAAAGAAAAAGUCGCAGUUCUAAGGGGCCAUUCACAUAUCGCGUCACAUAAGCGGCCGCACCGCUUUCUCCUUCUUUCCAAAGCGCUUUCGCUCCCGUGGCGUCUGUCGUUGCUAUGCAACCAUGAGCUGCGCUCUCCCCGAUGACGAGGAAGUUUCAGCAAAGUUUCAGUUUGAUUUCUACUCCUUGCAUUAGCUCUACUACUUGAUAUAUUUAUGGAGAUGAGAAAUAAAAACCUGCCCUGUACAGCUAUGAUCAGCUGUUUGGCUGCGCUUUCGGUGUUGUUACAGAAAGGCCGAAGCUUGGCCGGUCCUUGUCACAUGACCUGCGGUGCGCUUGCGGCAUUAUAAAAAGUUGAGAUAUUUUCAUCUCGCCGUGGCAUAGACACGCCUGGAAAAAUUAGUGCACCGCACCACAUGCCUAAAUUUCAGUCACGCGCGCCAAUUUAAACCACCGAAACGCGUCCGAUGCUACCAAUAAACGUUACCGAUGCUCAGACGGCAUCUUGGACAAAUGUGGCUCAGCACUGCCAGGUGUCUGGCAAGAAACAGAAUAGUGUACAAAUGUAUUCAUGGAUUGCAUUUGUUCAGUACAGUGUUGUUCAGUGCAAGAUUUUGAUGUUUUUUAAGCUAAAAUAAAGUAAGGGAUAAUAUUUGCACUGUUAAAAUCUAAUACUGUAUGUAAUAAUGAUAGAGACACUGCUGUUUACUUUUUUUUUAAGUAUGGCAAAAAUAUUUUAGUAGGCCUAUUGAAAUUUGAAUUAAAUGAGAAAUAAUGCAAAGGAAAGUAAAUUUUCAGAAAUUUUGCACUUUCUUGUGCUUAAAUGUUAAAAUGGCCCUCCUAUGAGGUGUCAAUCACAGCAAUGGUCCCCAGCCAAUUUGAGUUUGAGACCCCUGUGUUAAACGGAUAUGUGCUUUUUGCUUUAUGCAAUCUGGCAACCAUUCGCACACGCUCUCUGCGGAGGCGCCAUGAUCCGAAAACACAGACGGUACUGUACAAGUUCAGCGAUCUCCAUUUGGGGUAUUCCGCCUUAAUGAAAGUGUCAUUCAGUCAGUCUGUUUUCUGUCAUGGAUCUUGACUGUAAUGUUUGCGAUUGUGGUUGCUGAUUGUACUUACGUUACGCAACCUCUGUGUGGCAAUAUGUAGGGUCUUUUUUUUGCCGUUGUUUUAAUAGAGAAACAUUAAUGCAACUUGGAAUUAUUAGAAUUACUAUUAGGAAUUUCUCAGUUAUAAUAUAUUAGAGAGUAGGUUUUUGUUUUACCAGUUUUCAUAAUGUAGACAGGGCAAGUGUAUAUCUAAAGUCUUUGGUGUUUAUUAAUCUUAUAAUUGACAGCCUUUAAUAAAUCUGAUGAGAUGAGGUAAAAUAAACCAUGCAUAUGAAUCAAUAUUCUGUUGAUUUGUGCUUAUUGGUAAAAGAGCAACUUCUGAUGAAAUGUAAAAAUACAUUUCCCAAAUGACAACAAUCAUUGUAAUUAAAAUUGAGCAAAAUAAUAAUUUUCAUUUUAACCAUUAUACAGUAUGACGAAAAUGUGCAAGUUUCCAAUGAUUAAAACUAGACUAAAAUGCUCAGACAUUCAGUUGACUAAAACUUGACUAAACAAAAACAGGACAAGUUUGACUAAAAAUGAUAAAAACUAAAAGUUACAUUUAAAACAAGACUAAGACAAAGACUACAUUAAAAAAUAGCUGGCAAAAUAACACUAGUAUUAAAGAUUUAUUAACAUUACUGUAGUAUGAAGCAGGGUGUGGCUGAAAGCCGUUGGAGCGGAACGAGGCCGCUGGAGCGAUUAAAGCGUGACACACGACACGUGCCUUGAGAGUAGUGGAGCUUUUAUUAUGCCGCAGACGACCGUUUCCGCUUCUUCCGGUCAAGCGUAUGUGGGGUAACGCAGCGCUGUUUUAUCAUAUUAGAUACAUUUGUGUGUUGAAAGUUGUUAUAGUGCUACUCUGCGUUCGCUCGGCGGCUGCUAUGAGACACUUGUUGCACACUGCAGUAAGAUAGAUUGAUAUUAGGCAUGGUAAAACAUGGAACUCGUGGUAAAUCAAGAAAACAAUAUUUCAACAAUAAGACUUACUGUGUUGAGCUAUAUAACAAUUAUUUUUCUGUCAAUGAAUGUAUCCAAACAAUUGCUCUGUCUAAUAAAACAUAAUAUAUUAAAGUUUCCAUGGUUUCUACAAAAUAAAACCGGAAACCAAGGGUAACGCAGGUAUGAUGUCAUUGAUUGGCAAUGCACAGACACGGUCUGUGUCCUUGUUAAAAUUGCUUAUUUCUCUGGAUUUACACAAUCUUGGAAACAUUUGGGAUAACGUAAGUACUCAAGUCAACAAAAUACAUAACAUUGUUGUAGUGGUUUUUGGAUAUUUUAAUUUAAAAAUCUUACAUAUUGUGCCUUUAAGUGCCUGCACAGGAUUGUAGGAUAUCAGAUGCAGCAGAGGAUACAUACAGGUGCAUCUCAAUAAAUUAGAAUGUCGUGGAAAAGUUCAUUUAUUUCAGUAAUUCAACUCAAAUUGUGGAACUCGUGUAUUAAAUAAAUUCAGUGCACACAGAUUGAAGUACUUUAAGUCUUUGGUUCUUUUAAUUGUGAUGAUUUUGGCUCACAUUUAACAAAAAAAAAAAACAAUUCACCAUCUCAAAAAAUUAGAAUACUUCAUAAGAUCAAUAAAAAAGGAUAUUUUAAACAGAAAUGUCAGGCUUCUGAAAAGUAUGUUCAUUUCUAUGCACUCAAUACUUGGUUGGGCCUCCUUUUGCAUGAAUUACUGCAUCAAUGCGGUGUGGCAUGGGGGCGAUCAGUCUGUGGCACUGCUCAGGUGUAAUGGAAGCCCAGGUUGCUUUGAUAGUGGCCUUCAGCUCUUCUGCAUUGUUGGGUCUGGUGUCUCUCAUCUUCCUCUUGACAAUACCCCAUAGAUUCUCUAUGGGGUUCAGGUCAGGUGAGUUUGCUGGCCAAUCAAGCACAGUAACACCAUGGUCAUUGAACCCGCUUUUGGUACCUUUGGCAGUGUGGGCAGGUGCAAAUCCUGCUGGAAACUGAAAUCAUCAUCUCCAUAAAGCUUGUCAGCAGAAGGAAGCAUGAAGUGCUCUAAACUUUCCUGGUAGAUGGCUGCGUUGACUGUGGACUUCAGAAAACACAGUGGACCAACACCAGCAGAUGACAUGGCAGUCCAAAUCAUCACUGACUGUGGAAACUUCACACUGGACUUCAAGCAACAUGGUUUCUGUGCCUCUCCACUCUUCCUCCAGACUCUGAGACCUUGAUUUCCAAAUGAAAUGCAAAAUUUACUUUCAUCUGAAAAGAGGACUUCGGACCACUGAGCCACAGUCCAGUUCUUUUUGUCCUUAGCCCAGGCACAAAUCGAGGCAUUCGGGACGCAGAAAACCAAAUCUAAACACGCCGAUGGGGAAACUGCACUUCAGCCAGAUUGUUUGACAAAAAGCAAGAUGCACAGUUUAGAUUUACAACAAGCCUACAUCAUGUCACACACGGUUGAGCAUGGAAACCCUGCUGGACUUCAAAGGAAGAUCAGUAUAAGCCCCUGAGCAGGAAUGUGAACACUGGCACUCAUGCUUGAUCAUGCUGGAUUUUUACUUAUGUCAUGUAACAGUUCAAGAUAUAGCUACUGCAGGAAGCUCUUAAAAUAUGUUAAAGAUGUCUUGUCAUGUGGUGUUUAGGUGCUAUAACUGGACAAAUUUUAUGCUAUUUGAACAAUAAAUUAUCAUUUGUUUUCACAUAGCAGGAAAUGAGCAACGAACUGCAUGAAUAAGGACAUUUACAGGGUUUAACUAUGAUUCAGCCCAUGUCUAAUGUAAACAUGAAUGAACUAAGCAGAAAUACUCUUGAGGAACAGCGUGACAAUACACCUUUCUACUUCUGCUUUUGUAAGCAAUUUUUUUGCAAGGUUCACUGUUUCUCAUAAGAUAACAGUUUCUGAGAUAUUCCACUGUAAACUUUGCAGAAAGGUUUUGUUUUAUCUUAAGCACUUAUCUUUUCUUCAUUUGACACCAGUUCAUUAACAUGAUGUUCAGUUGAUGUAUCAACAACUUCAUAAGCAACACUUUUGACCAUGCUAAAAGCUGCAAGAUUGGGGUGUAAAAUAUAUUGUGGUUCUACUUUUUUUCAUUUAGCACCUAAUUUCACUCAGUAAUAGAGCUUCAGACAUCUGUGGGUAACAGCAGCUGUUUAAAUUAGUUUGAAAGUGUUUAAAAUUGUGUUAGAUGUGUGACCUGCUGGUGCAUGUGUGAGCGAACACCUCUCACCACUGACUGACCUGCUAACAUGAGCUGUCACACUCCAUUUCAACAAACACAAAUGACAUUCGUUGUUAUAAAGAGAUUCUACACUGUCCUGUUGCCAAUUAGUGAAAUAAAAAUGCCUUUUAGAUUCA
Molecule: long non-coding RNA, 9033 nt
Organism: Ctenopharyngodon idella (grass carp)
Lineage: Eukaryota; Metazoa; Chordata; Actinopteri; Cypriniformes; Xenocyprididae
Exons: 3
Source: RefSeq, a predicted model, not a curated record